UAAAAGAGAAAGCAACUUUUUUCUCUCUUUUUUCCUCUGUGUGUGUGUGUGUGUGUGUAGGGCCUGUUCAUCUUCCUGAUAUAUGGGGUGUACAACACAGAGGUUCGGAGCACAGUUAAAAGGAUCAAGGAGAGAAGAAAAGCGCUACGUUUUUCAGUCAGCUGUCCAUUCCUUGUGUCCCAAAGAGCCUAAAGGAUUCCCACAGUCAUGCUACAGGUGUCUUGAUCCCCAGAAUGGAGAGGAAGAGUGGAAGAGCAUUCCGGUGCGAGACGGUCAUGUCAUCCAACAUCUGAGAAACCUGGGGCUCAGUGAUACUUAUGCACACACACAAACUCAAGUACAUAUCGUAUACAUAUAUGCACGCUCGCACAGACACAAACACUUAUAAUUGAGAGACCUACGUCCCGUUUCCUUGCAGUUGCCUAAUAGGAAUGGAGAUUUUUUGAUAUGUUUUAUUGCGUCACUACAGUUGGAUUCAGAUGUUUUAUUGCAAAUUAAAAAGCUGAAAGAGUUACCUCUACCUUUUCUGUGAAUGAGCAGUGUUUGCUUUUUGGAUUUGGGUGUGGCACUCUAGUGAGUAACAUGUCCUGGAGCCUGCAAGGCUUCAGUGAAUGGGUGUUGGCCAGGCAGAUAGUAUGACAGACAGGAAAGGAUCAUCCCGGGGUCACCACAACAAUUAUCACGUAGUGUCCACAAGGUAGAGAGGGUCACAGUGCCUUCAGAAAGUAUUCACACCUCUUGACUUUUUCAAGAUGAUGUUGUGUUACAGCCUGAAUUUAAAAUGGAUUAAAUUGAGAUCGUUUUUUGUCAUUGGCCUACACACAAUACCCCAUAAUGUCAAAUUGGAAUUAUGUUUUUAUUUGAUUUAUGUACAAAUUAAUAAACAAUGAAAAGCUGAAAUAUCUUCAGUUGGUAAGAAUUAAACUUUGUCAUGACAAGCUUAAAUAAAUUGAGGAGUGAAAAUUUGCUUAACCAGUCACAUAAUAAAUUGCAUGGACUAUUGUAUGCAAUAAUAGUGUUUAGCAUAAUUUUUAACAACUAACUUGACAGAGCUUGAAGAGUUUUAAAAAUAAUCAUGUGAAAAUAUUGAACAAUCCAGGUGUGCAAAGUUCUUAGACUUACCCAGAAAGACUCACAGCUGUAAUCACUGCCAAGGGUGAUUCUAACAUGUUGACUCAGGGUGUUGAAUACUUAUCUAAUCAAGAUAUAUUACCUUGCAAAGUACAAACAAUAUAAAAAAUGUCAAUUAAAUCCAUUUUAAUCCCACUUUGUAACACAACAAAAUGUGGAAAAGUAAAGGGGUGUGAAUAGUUUCUGAAAGUACUGUAGCAUUAUAUUCUCUCUCUUUCUGACACACACAGUUCUCUCUUUCUCACACACAUACACAUACCCUUUACAGCCCCUCUCCUCUCUCUCUCUCUCUCUCUGGCACAUACACAGACAACAACAACAUCCCUCCCCCCGUCUCUCUUAUGUACACACUAACACACACUAGUGAUAUGUCCACUGAGGUGACAUUUCCGGGCGGGGGGGGACAGAGGAUGACACCCGUGUCCACCCCUGCUUGAGAGGAAGUGGAUAUCAGAACACAACAGGAAAGACCGAAAAGAAAAACAAGCUGACAUCUUUUUGGACAUUAAAUCACUUCCUUUAGGGCCCUGCGACUGACCCCUUAAGCAGGUUUACCACCGAGCAUCCUCUUGCUGGGCUGGGGAUCGAUGUGUGUGCUGUCUUACUCUUUCUUUUUUGAGGGGGGGGGGGGUAGAUCAGCUUCAAUAUUGCAAAUAG
Long non-coding RNA from Oncorhynchus kisutch (coho salmon), 1788 nucleotides. The record is from Ensembl. NCBI's taxonomy places the organism in Eukaryota, Metazoa, Chordata, Actinopteri, Salmoniformes, Salmonidae.